Molecule: long non-coding RNA, 255 nt
Filed under: Trifolium pratense (red clover)
Lineage: Eukaryota; Viridiplantae; Streptophyta; Magnoliopsida; Fabales; Fabaceae
Description: long non-coding RNA (TPRA_LNC006070)
Source: RNAcentral
CCAGACACAACACUGAGACGUAGACCAUUGUAAUAAUGUGGAACGUAAUAGUGCUCCUUCGAUUUUCGUCGGCAGAUGGAUCCACCUAGUUUUUGGAUCAAUGGAAGUGUCUGAUAGUGAAAUAUUAGAUGGAUGAACUACUAGCAGUUGCAGAGGAGAGUUGAAGGUCAGAAGAAGAGGAAAGACAUAGUCAAGCAAGUGAUGACUAACAAGCAUUCUCGUACAUCAUGCUUCGCCAAAGAAUAAAUGUACCGA